This is a long non-coding RNA of Bombina bombina (fire-bellied toad), 489 nucleotides long. RefSeq lists it as uncharacterized. Lineage: Eukaryota; Metazoa; Chordata; Amphibia; Anura; Bombinatoridae. The record is from RefSeq and is a predicted model, not a curated record. The transcript is spliced from 2 exons.
CUCAUUCCUGUAAGGCCUGGGGCGAACCGAAGCUCUCCUGGAACGAUCCAUGCGGCCUUCAAGAAGAUCCCUGUCACAGCACAAAAAUCCUCUUGAAGUCUGGAAGCAGGAAAAGAGGCUGGAACAACUGCAACAUGGACCUAUAAAGUUUGUCUGGGGGACCUGAGUGGGGUAAGGACACCCCCUCAUUCCCAUCUUAACCAAAAAAUGUAUGAAGAUCUUGAAUACAAAGGGAGUACAGAGCAAAGCUGGGAAAAUCAAAGGAGGAAGAGAAGAAGAUAAGAGGGGAAGAUGAAGAAGAGUAAGAAAGGAGUGCCUCCCGACCAUGACACACCCAGUGGGAUUUUCAUCAAUAAGGAUAAUAUUAUGAUUAACCAACGGAUGUAUAAAGGCAUAUAAGAUCUCUGCUGUAUUGGGUCUAUUGACAAUUCAAACAGUAUUAUAUGGAGUCAUGUGUGAUCCAAUAAAACCAGACUUUGUGAAAAGCUU